Molecule: non-coding RNA, 367 nt
Organism: Arachis ipaensis
Lineage: Eukaryota; Viridiplantae; Streptophyta; Magnoliopsida; Fabales; Fabaceae
Source: RefSeq, a predicted model, not a curated record
CAAAAAAAGUGGGACUACUUUGGAAGCAAAGUUUAUAGGAACUUUGCCAAAAGAACUCAUGUAGAAGUGUCAGGGCAUUAUUUUGGAGAACAAAUUCUGGUCAUUACAUUGUUUGGUUCACACUAUCACAAUAGGCUAAUGACUUUGGUCAACUAGGUGAUAGAACCGAGGAGUGAAGGAAAUAUCUAAAGAAAGUAAAGCCAUUAGAGUCAGAGUUUGUAAAAUCUGUCUUGUAUAAUUCUUAAUUCUCUUAGAAAUUCAUUUUUGUUAAUGCUUGUAAAUUUUAUGUACGCGGCUGUUGCAUGUAUACAGAUGACAUUGUUGCAGGCUUUUGCCAAGUAUUGAAUGAAGGAACAUAAAUUUGAGU